Molecule: non-coding RNA, 1227 nt
Organism: Paramormyrops kingsleyae
Lineage: Eukaryota; Metazoa; Chordata; Actinopteri; Osteoglossiformes; Mormyridae
Source: RefSeq, a predicted model, not a curated record
AUGAUUUUUCUGUGCUCUUGAAUUUAAAAAAAUCAUAAUGUUAGUGCAGUUUGUUUUUCGGCACCUUAAUUCUUUUUGUCCCUUGACUGCACAGAUGGAGAAGGAUGAGACUGUGGGAGAAUCUUCUCCGCAUAUUGCCAACAUUGGCCGCCUUGUGGAGGAUAUGGAGAAUAAAAUUCGUUCUACCCUGAAUGAAAUCUACUUUGGAAAAACAAAGGACAUCGUCAAUGGUCUAAGAUCUAUUGAUUCUCUGCCUGAUAACCAAACAUACCGUCAGCUCCAGAAGGAGCUCUCCCAGGUCCUCACCCAGCGCCAGAUCUACAUUCAGCCAGACAAUUAGGGCUGGAGGAGUAUACAGACACUGGCAGACAAGUCAAUGCAGGAGGCUCUGAAAAACGACCUGAUGGUGGCGCUCAAGCGCAAACAGCAGAGUUAGAGCGCUUUGUCUUCAUUUCUUUGUUGCUGUUCUUCCACGCUUUUUUUGUUUUGUUUCACCUCCUAUUCAAAGCUCUUUGUUCAUAUUUCCCCUUCAGCUCCCACACUCUUGUCAUUGCUCUCAUCUUCAGCAUUCAUUUAAAUGAACAAAACGCUUUUUAAAUGAGUCUUAUUGGAAAUGUCUUUUAAGUCCUCAUUCUCAGUUUUGAUAAGUUAUAAAUAUCGGUGUUACAAAUAUUCUACACAGUAUAGUAACAAUGUUAACUUCCUAAUGCUCAUGUUCUGUUUGUCUCUGGGGGCAGUGAUACACUUUUCCCACAUAGGAAUUUUGCGAGGCAUAUAAGGGACGGCUGAGUGGUUGGGUGACGCAUACAGGUCAUUUUCACUAUUUAUUCUUGUAUUGAAUAUAUAUGACGUAUUUUUACCCCGUAUCUCCUUGAAAAAAGUGCACAUCACACUUCCUGCCGUGAAGGGGUCGGCAGUACACGCCCAGUACCGACCCAUUACGAUCAUUGUUAUCAUCACUGUACUUAUUGGGAAAUUUCUGCCUUUUGCUUUUUCUGUUGUGAAUGCCUGGAGUCAUGGGCAGGCAAAUGGGACAGUGAAUGAACAUAUAAUGAAUGCUCCUUUUAUUACUGUUUGGGUCUUGAAUUUCUUUGUCUUGGGGGGGGCUGUUUUGGUUUCUAUUUAGGUACGUGUUUCUAUUUUUUUGUUUUGUUUUGUUUUUGUAAAGCUUAUUCAUGAAAUAGAGCCUCCCACUCCAAUAAACCCAGGUUAUUAUAUGGCAAGAUU